AACAUACUCCCUCUGUCUCAAAAUUCUUGUCUUAAAUUUGUUUAGAUAUGAAUGUAUCUAGUCAUGUUUUAGUAUUUUGAUACAUCUAUUUGUAGACAAACCUAAGACAAGAAUUUUAGGACGGAGGGAGUAUGUA
Molecule: microRNA precursor, 136 nt
Filed under: Hordeum vulgare
Lineage: Eukaryota; Viridiplantae; Streptophyta; Magnoliopsida; Poales; Poaceae
Description: microRNA MIR1122
Rfam family: MIR1120/MIR1122 microRNA precursor family
Source: RNAcentral